This 373-nucleotide ribosomal RNA is filed under the name uncultured organism. Its description in RNAcentral is "partial 16S ribosomal RNA". It matches the Rfam family "Bacterial small subunit ribosomal RNA", at positions 527 to 896 of the family's 1533-position model. The record is from RNAcentral.
GUAGGUGGCAAGCGUUGUCCGGGAAUUAUUGGGCGUAAAGCGCGCGCAGGCGGUUCUUUAAGUCUGAUGUGAAAGCCCACGGGCUCAACCGUGGAGGGUCAUUGGAAACUGGAGAACUUGAGUACAGAAGAGGAAAGCGGAAUUCCACGUGUAGCGGUGAAAUGCGUAGAGAUGUGGAGGAACACCAGUGGCGAAGGCGGCUUUCUGGUCUGUAACUGACGCUGAGGCGCGAAAGCGUGGGGAGCAAACAGGAUUAGAUACUCUGGUAGUCCACGCCGUAAACGAUGAGUGCUAAGUGUUAGGGGGUUUCCGCCCCUUAGUGCUGCAGCUAACGCAUUAAGCACUCCGCCUGGGGAGUACGGCCGCAAGGCUG